AACAGGCUGUGGUCCAUCUUGUGUUAGUUAUACAAAUCUUUGGUCGUGGGAGGCAACCUCCGCUCGCUGGGGCUCGAGCAGGAAGGAUGCGCUGCAGGCUUUAGCAGAGACAAGAAAAGUGUCGUUUACAGUUCUGACGGAAGAUAAAUGACAGCUCAUAUUGCAGCCUGGACAUCUUACAUUUGGAAUUCGUAGGACUGUUUACACACACAAAGAAAGUUUGAUUUUGAAUGAAGCAACACAUCUGCUAGUACCUUCAAGAUGGCUACCAGAUAUCAAAAACGAUAGCAUAAUUGUAAAAUCAAGAACUCCAGAUCUGACAGAAGCAACAUGAAAAGUGAAAACAGUGGCGG
This is a non-coding RNA of Salvelinus sp. IW2-2015, 353 nucleotides long. The record is from RefSeq and is a predicted model, not a curated record. Lineage: Eukaryota; Metazoa; Chordata; Actinopteri; Salmoniformes; Salmonidae.